This 474-nucleotide ribosomal RNA is filed under the name uncultured bacterium. Its description in RNAcentral is "bacterial SSU rRNA". It matches the Rfam family "Bacterial small subunit ribosomal RNA", at positions 30 to 506 of the family's 1533-position model. The record is from RNAcentral.
GCGAACGCUGGCGGCGUGGAUAAGGCAUGCAAGUCGAGCGAUCUGCCGCAAGGCAGAUAGCGGCAAACGGGUGAGUAACACAUCGGAACGUACCCAGUCGUGGGGGAUAACUACGCGAAAGCGUGGCUAAUACCGCAUACGCCCUGAGGGGGAAAGCGGGGGACCUUCGGGCCUCGCGCGAUUGGAGCGGCUGAUGUCGGAUUAGCUGGUUGGUGGGGUAAAGGCCUACCAAGGCGACGCUCCGUAGCUGGUCUGAGAGGAUGAUCAGCCACACUGGGACUGAGACACGGCCCAGACUCCUACGGGAGGCAGCAGUGGGGAAUUUUGGACAAUGGGCGCAAGCCUGAUCCAGCCAUGCCGCGUGAGUGAAGAAGGCCUUCGGGUUGUAAAGCUCUUUCAGACGGAAAGAAAUCGGGCGGGUGAAUAGCCUGCCUGGAUGACGGUACUGUCAGAAGAAGCACCGGCUAACUACGU